Molecule: ribosomal RNA, 492 nt
Filed under: uncultured bacterium
Lineage: Bacteria
Description: partial 16S ribosomal RNA
Rfam family: Bacterial small subunit ribosomal RNA
Source: RNAcentral
AGUGAACGCUGGCGGUAGGCCUAACACAUGCAAGUCGAACGGCAGCACAGUAAGAGCUUGCUCUUACGGGUGGCGAGUGGCGGACGGGUGAGGAAUACAUCGGAAUCUACUUUUUCGUGGGGGAUAACGUAGGGAAACUUACGCUAAUACCGCAUACGACCUACGGGUGAAAGCAGGGGAUCUUCGGACCUUGCGCGAUUGAAUGAGCCGAUGUCGGAUUAGCUAGUUGGCGGGGUAAGGGCCCACCAAGGCGACGAUCCGUAGCUGGUCUGAGAGGAUGAUCAGCCACACUGGAACUGAGACACGGUCCAGACUCCUACGGGAGGCAGCAGUGGGGAAUAUUGGACAAUGGGCGCAAGCCUGAUCCAGCCAUACCGCGUGGGUGAAGAAGGCCUUCGGGUUGUAAAGCCCUUUUGUUGGGAAAGAAAAGCAGCAGGUUAAUACCCCGCUGUUCUGUCGGUACCCAAAGAAUAAGCACCGGCUAACUUCGUG